GGCUGGUCCGAUAGCAGUGGGUUAUCAGAACGUAUUAACAUUAGUGUCACUAAAGUUGGUAUACCACCCCCCCCCCACUGCUAAAUUUGACUGGUUUAAA
Unclassified non-coding RNA from Cavia porcellus (domestic guinea pig), 100 nucleotides. It matches the Rfam family "Y RNA". From Rfam's summary of the family: Y RNAs are components of the Ro ribonucleoprotein particle (Ro RNP), in association with Ro60 and La proteins. The Y RNAs and Ro60 and La proteins are well conserved, but the function of the Ro RNP is not known. In humans the RNA component can be one of four small RNAs -- hY1, hY3, hY4 and hY5. Lineage: Eukaryota; Metazoa; Chordata; Mammalia; Rodentia; Caviidae. The record is from Ensembl.